CUGCUAGCUUGGUCGGUAGAGCAUGAGACUCUUAAUCUCAGAGUUGUGGGUUCAUGCCUCACGCAG
Molecule: transfer RNA, 66 nt
Filed under: Cricetulus griseus (Chinese hamster)
Lineage: Eukaryota; Metazoa; Chordata; Mammalia; Rodentia; Cricetidae
Rfam family: tRNA
About the family: Transfer RNA (tRNA) molecules are approximately 80 nucleotides in length.
Source: Rfam by way of RNAcentral